RNAcentral lists this ribosomal RNA (1392 nucleotides) under Kitasatospora sp. RG8. RNAcentral describes it as "partial 23S ribosomal RNA". It matches the Rfam family "Bacterial large subunit ribosomal RNA", at positions 1556 to 2925 of the family's 2925-position model. Lineage: Bacteria; Bacillati; Actinomycetota; Actinomycetes; Kitasatosporales; Streptomycetaceae. The record is from RNAcentral.
CUGAGACCUGAUGCCGAGCCGAUUGUGGUGAAGUGGAUGAUCCUAUGCUGUCGAGAAAAGCCUCUAGCGAGUUUCAUGGCGGCCCGUACCCCAAACCGACUCAGGUGGUCAGGUAGAGAAUACCGAGGCGUUCGGGUGAACUAUGGUUAAGGAACUCGGCAAAAUGCCCCCGUAACUUCGGGAGAAGGGGGGCCAUUCCUGGUGACGGCACUUGCUGCCAGAGCUGGGGGUGGCCGCAGAGACCAGCGAGAAGCGACUGUUUACUAAAAACACAGGUCCGUGCGAAGCCGUAAGGCGAUGUAUACGGACUGACGCCUGCCCGGUGCUGGAACGUUAAGGGGACCGGUUAGCUCUGAUUCGUCGGGGCGAAGCUGAGAACUUAAGCGCCAGUAAACGGCGGUGGUAACUAUAACCAUCCUAAGGUAGCGAAAUUCCUUGUCGGGUAAGUUCCGACCUGCACGAAUGGCGUAACGACUUCUCGACUGUCUCAACCAUAGGCCCGGUGAAAUUGCAUUACGAGUAAAGAUGCUCGUUUCGCGCAGCAGGACGGAAAGACCCCGGGACCUUUACUAUAGCUUGAUAUUGGUGUUCGGUUCGGCUUGUGUAGGAUAGGUGGGAGACUUUGAAGCAGCAACGCCAGUUGUUGUGGAGUCGUCGUUGAAAUACCACUCUGGUCGUGCUGGAUGUCUAACCUGGGUCCGUGAUCCGGAUCAGGGACAGUGUCUGGUGGGUAGUUUAACUGGGGCGGUUGCCUCCUAAAGGGUAACGGAGGCGCCCAAAGGUUCCCUCAGCCUGGUUGGCAAUCAGGUGUUGAGUGUAAGUGCACAAGGGAGCUUGACUGUGAGACUGACGGGUCGAGCAGGUACGAAAGUAGGGACUAGUGAUCCGGCGGUGGCUUGUGGAAGCGCCGUCGCUCAACGGAUAAAAGGUACCCCGGGGAUAACAGGCUGAUCUUCCCCAAGAGUCCAUAUCGACGGGAUGGUUUGGCACCUCGAUGUCGGCUCGUCGCAUCCUGGGGCUGGAGUAGGUCCCAAGGGUUGGGCUGUUCGCCCAUUAAAGCGGUACGCGAGCUGGGUUUAGAACGUCGUGAGACAGUUCGGUCCCUAUCCGCUGUGCGCGUAGGAGUGUUGAGAAGGGCUGUCCCUAGUACGAGAGGACCGGGACGGACGAACCUCUGGUGUGCCAGUUGUUCUGCCAAGGGCAUGGCUGGUUGGCUACGUUCGGGAGGGAUAACCGCUGAAAGCAUCUAAGCGGGAAGCCUGCUUCGAGAUGAGCACUCCCACCUCCUUGAGAGGGUAAGGCUCCCAGUAGACGACUGGGUUGAUAGGCCGGAUAUGGAAGCCCUGUGAGGGGUGGAGUUGACCGGUACUAAUAGGCCGAGGGCUUGUCCUC